UACGGGGGGGGCAAGCGUUGUUCGGAAUUACUGGGCGUAAAGGGCGCGUAGGCGGUUUGCUAAGUUGGAUGUGAAAACUCUGGGCUUAACUCAGAGCCUGCAUCCAAAACUGGCAAACUUGAGUACUGGAGGGGAAAGCGGAAUUCCUGGUGUAGCGGUGAAAUGCGUAGAUAUCAGGAGGAACAUCGAUGGCGAAAGCGGCUCACUGGACCACAACUGACGCUGAUGCACGAAAGCUAGGGGAGCAAACGG
This 252-nucleotide ribosomal RNA is filed under the name uncultured bacterium. RNAcentral's name for it is "partial 16S ribosomal RNA". It matches the Rfam family "Bacterial small subunit ribosomal RNA", at positions 524 to 775 of the family's 1533-position model. The record is from RNAcentral.